CAGGAUAUCGAAUCCCUAACAGGAGGGCUGGCUGGUUCUAAGGGGGCUGAUCCACCGGAAUUUGCUGCACUGACAAAAGAAUUAAAUGCCUGCAGGGAACAACUUCUAGAAAAGGAAGAAGAAAUCUCUGAACUUAAAGCUGAAAGAAACAACACAAGACUAUUACUGGAGCAUUUGGAGUGCCUUGUGUCACGACAUGAAAGGUCACUAAGAAUGACGGUGGUAAAACGGCAAGCCCAGUCUCCCUCAGGAGUAUCCAGUGAAGUUGAAGUUCUCAAGGCACUGAAAUCUUUGUUUGAGCACCACAAGGCCUUGGAUGAAAAGGUAAGGGAGCGACUGAGGGUUUCUUUAGAAAGAGUCUCUGCACUGGAAGAAGAACUAGCUGCUGCUAAUCAGGAGGUAACAUGCCACACUUUCUCCUCUUUUGAGGUGCAAUAUCGCUGACAUUACAUCCCUUGUGUUUCACGUCACUUUUAUUAUAACUGUCACAA
RNAcentral lists this small RNA (491 nucleotides) under Pongo abelii (Sumatran orangutan). Its description in RNAcentral is "retained intron". Lineage: Eukaryota; Metazoa; Chordata; Mammalia; Primates; Hominidae. The record is from RNAcentral.